Molecule: non-coding RNA, 25 nt
Filed under: Mus musculus (house mouse)
Lineage: Eukaryota; Metazoa; Chordata; Mammalia; Rodentia; Muridae
Source: RNAcentral
UCCCAAGGCAGGUGGGUACGGGGUC